GGGUGCUUAGCUCAGUUGGUAGAGCGCCGCUCUUACACAGCGAUGGUCGGCGGUUCGAGCCCGUCAGCACCCACCA
RNAcentral lists this transfer RNA (76 nucleotides) under Roseateles depolymerans. RNAcentral's name for it is "tRNA-Val". It matches the Rfam family "tRNA". Rfam says of the family: Transfer RNA (tRNA) molecules are approximately 80 nucleotides in length. Their secondary structure includes four short double-helical elements and three loops (D, anti-codon, and T loops). Further hydrogen bonds mediate the characteristic L-shaped molecular structure. tRNAs have two regions of fundamental functional importance: the anti-codon, which is responsible for specific mRNA codon recognition, and the 3' end, to which the tRNAs corresponding amino acid is attached (by aminoacyl-tRNA synthetases). tRNAs cope with the degeneracy of the genetic code in two manners: having more than one tRNA (with a specific anti-codon) for a particular amino acid; and 'wobble' base-pairing, i.e. permitting non-standard base-pairing at the 3rd anti-codon position. RNAcentral also lists the same sequence under 3 other names. The record is from RNAcentral. Lineage: Bacteria; Pseudomonadati; Pseudomonadota; Betaproteobacteria; Burkholderiales; Sphaerotilaceae.